This 548-nucleotide ribosomal RNA is filed under the name Lodderomyces parapsilosis. Its description in RNAcentral is "eukaryotic LSU rRNA". It matches the Rfam family "Eukaryotic large subunit ribosomal RNA", at positions 91 to 656 of the family's 3401-position model. The record is from RNAcentral. Lineage: Eukaryota; Fungi; Ascomycota; Pichiomycetes; Serinales; Debaryomycetaceae.
GAGUGAGCGGCAAAAGCUCAAAUUUGAAAUCUGGCACUUUCAGUGUCCGAGUUGUAAUUUGAAGAAGGUAUCUUUGGGUCUGGCUCUUGUCUAUGUUUCUUGGAACAGAACGUCACAGAGGGUGAGAAUCCCGUGCGAUGAGAUGUCCCAGACCUAUGUAAAGUUCCUUCGAAGAGUCGAGUUGUUUGGGAAUGCAGCUCUAAGUGGGUGGUAAAUUCCAUCUAAAGCUAAAUAUUGGCGAGAGACCGAUAGCGAACAAGUACAGUGAUGGAAAGAUGAAAAGAACUUUGAAAAGAGAGUGAAAAAGUACGUGAAAUUGUUGAAAGGGAAGGGCUUGAGAUCAKACUUGGUAUUUUGUAUGUUACUCUCUCGGGGGUGGCCUCUACAGUUUACCGGGCCAGCAUCAGUUUGAGCGGUAGGAUAAGUGCAAAGAAAUGUGGCACUGCUUCGGUAGUGUGUUAUAGUCUUUGUCGAUACUGCCAGCUUAGACUGAGGACUGCGGCUUCGGCCUAGGAUGUUGGCAUAAUGAUCUUAAGUCGCCCGUCUUG